Molecule: long non-coding RNA, 347 nt
Filed under: Mytilus galloprovincialis (Mediterranean mussel)
Lineage: Eukaryota; Metazoa; Mollusca; Bivalvia; Mytilida; Mytilidae
Source: RNAcentral
GUCAAGGUCAUUGCUCCACAAUGUCAUUGCCAAAGACCCUAUGGGUCAAGGACAUUUUGUUUAAGAGUUUUGCCUAAUAAUGGCUUUAUAUAAACCAUCAAUGGGGAUUAUGCCCCUUACACAAUGGUAAAACCAAUACAGUCAUAAUGUAACAAAGUUGCCCCUUGAAGUACCAAGCAUUUUUCACUAUGUAAAUUUUCUGUAUCCAUAACCAUUCCAAAGUUAUAGGGAAAUCAAAGACAAAUACAAAUCUAAAAUACGACCUUGACCUUUGACCUUGACCUUAUUUUCAUUUUUUUGGACCAAGGAUCUCAAAUUAAAAGACCCUAGGUCUCUAUCACUUAUGG